Molecule: ribosomal RNA, 251 nt
Filed under: uncultured bacterium
Lineage: Bacteria
Description: partial 16S ribosomal RNA
Rfam family: Bacterial small subunit ribosomal RNA
Source: RNAcentral
UGGUGAGUAACGCGUGAGGAACCUGCCUUUCGGAGGGGGACAACAGUUGGAAACGACUGCUAAUACCGCAUGACGUAUCGGGAUCGCAUGGUCUUGAUACCAAAGAUUUUAUCGCCGAAAGAUGGCCUCGCGUCUGAUUAGCUAGUUGGUGGGGCAACGGCCUACCAAGGCGACGAUCAGUAGCCGGACUGAGAGGUUGGCCGGCCACAUUGGGACUGAGAUACGGCCCAGACUCCUACGGAAGGCAGCAG